Molecule: ribosomal RNA, 118 nt
Filed under: Brycon orbignyanus
Lineage: Eukaryota; Metazoa; Chordata; Actinopteri; Characiformes; Bryconidae
Description: partial 16S ribosomal RNA
Source: RNAcentral
ACAAGACGAGAAGACCCUUUGGAGCUUAAGACAUACAGUCAACUGUGUCAAACAUUUUACUUAAAAAACUUAAACAAAACAAUAACUGACCCUACGUCUUCGGUUGGGGCGACCGCGG